RNAcentral lists this ribosomal RNA (253 nucleotides) under uncultured bacterium. RNAcentral's name for it is "partial 16S ribosomal RNA". It matches the Rfam family "Bacterial small subunit ribosomal RNA", at positions 524 to 776 of the family's 1533-position model. The record is from RNAcentral.
UACGUAGGGUGCGAGCGUUAAUCGGAAUUACUGGGCGUAAAGCGUGCGCAGGCGGUUUUGUAAGCCAGAUGUGAAAUCCCCGGGCUUAACCUGGGAAUGGCAUUUGGGACUGCAAGGCUAGAGUGUGGCAGAGGAGACUGGAAUUCCUGGUGUAGCAGUGAUAUGCGUAGAUAUCAGGAGGAAUACCGAUGGCGAAGGCAGGUCUCUGGGCUAACACUGACGCUCAUGCACGAAAGCGUGGGGAGCAAACAGG